RNAcentral lists this ribosomal RNA (480 nucleotides) under uncultured bacterium. RNAcentral describes it as "bacterial SSU rRNA". It matches the Rfam family "Bacterial small subunit ribosomal RNA", at positions 29 to 507 of the family's 1533-position model. The record is from RNAcentral.
AAUGAACGUUGGCGGCGUGGAUUAGGCAUGCAAGUCGAACGAGAACCCCGCAAGGGGUGAAAGUGGCAAACGGCGUAGUAAGGCGUAGGUGACGUACCUCCCGAUUCGGGAUAGCUACGGGAAACUGUAGGUAAUACCGGAUAAUCCCUCCGAGAUUGAAAAUCGGAGUGCAAAGGUGUGAUUCCGUCAGGAGAGCGGCUUACGUGGUAUUAGCUAGUUGGUGAGGUAACGGCUCACCAAGGCUUCGAUGCCUAGGGGGUGUUAGCGCAUGACCCCCACGACUGGGACUGAGAUACUGCCCAGACACCUACGGGUGGCUGCAGUCGAGAAUCUUCGGCAAUGGGCGCAAGCCUGACCGAGCGACGCCGCGUGUGGGAUGAAGGCCCUUGGGUUGUAAACCACUGUCAGAGGGGAUGAAAUGCGGGUGGGUUCUCCCAUCCGUUUGACAUAGCCUCAGAGGAAGCACGGGCUAAGUUCGUG